GCUGCAGGAGACAGCGGCGGCCAUGGCUUCUGCUUGCUGCUGGAGGCAGAUCUUGAUUCUUGCCACAAGUGGAAGGAAGACACGCCACGCCGCCUACCGGCGCCUUCCAGAUCUGGAAACCUCCGUUUUGUUUUUCAGCAAGACAUAGCGGAUGGAUCUCUGCCUCAACUCAAUUUUAGUUACAGCUAGCGAUUAUAUAGUGAGAGACAAAGUAAAGCUCUUCUAUCGGUGUGUAUCUGGACCUGCAAGCUUGUUCUAUAUGUUUGGCGACAUCAUCUCUUGAUGUCUCAAUGGAGAAACUUAAUUACAAGUAAACUACUUGGUGUUCACGUUUAAUUUGUUUCUCUUGAAGAAUGUUGAUAUAUCAUACAUUCAUACAUUCCAACAAAAAAAUUCCUCUCUCUGGAUGUGCCUGUGUUCGCGUCGCCUGGAAAUUCUGACCACAUUUGUUCUCCGCAUUUUAACCGUGUUGUUCAUGUCUUAUCUAGAUUCAUAUCGAUGCCAAUGUAUCUAGACACAUUGAUUGAUUCAUAUUGACGCUAAUGUAUCGAUGAAUGAAGGCUAAAAAGUCCAUGAAAAUUCUGCAC
Long non-coding RNA from Oryza brachyantha (malo sina), 587 nucleotides. RefSeq lists it as uncharacterized. Lineage: Eukaryota; Viridiplantae; Streptophyta; Magnoliopsida; Poales; Poaceae. The transcript is spliced from 5 exons. The record is from RefSeq and is a predicted model, not a curated record.